RNAcentral lists this unclassified non-coding RNA (88 nucleotides) under Pseudomonas arsenicoxydans. The record is from RNAcentral. Lineage: Bacteria; Pseudomonadati; Pseudomonadota; Gammaproteobacteria; Pseudomonadales; Pseudomonadaceae.
GUGGGAGCCAGCCUGCUGGCGAUAGCGGUGUGUCAGGCAACAUGCAUGCUGGAUGUGCCAACCAAAUCGCCAGCAGGCUGGCUCCCAC